This 1731-nucleotide long non-coding RNA is filed under the name Solanum tuberosum (potato). Its description in RNAcentral is "long non-coding RNA (STUB_LNC003575)". The record is from RNAcentral. Lineage: Eukaryota; Viridiplantae; Streptophyta; Magnoliopsida; Solanales; Solanaceae.
UCCCUCCUAGUGUAUUUUCCAGCUUCUUGGCCAUUCUCCUCCGCAACUUCGUCUUCUAUUUUCCGACCUUUGUCCAGGUGCCCUUUUUUAGCUCUUUCUUCUUUGCUUUUCACCCUGAAACAUCUAAUCAUAUUGGUUAGAGGAAACGACAUCAAAAGACUCCAAAAUUCCAGUUCCGACUAGGAAAGUGCUCUCAAACUUAGCUAUAUAUAUGGGAUAAAUUGGUUAUUAGGCGCAUAAAUACGCCUAAGAUCAUUAUGAAAGCUAAAUGUCUUGUAUAGAGUCCUUCGGGGUUCUAUACGCCAUGUUACAUCUAGGGGGUAUCCCUAGGUCGUGACAUGUUAUUAAACAUUUAGUAUGUUUUAUACAUUCAGACUAGUUGGGGUUUUCCCCAUUUUCAGUUAUCUAUUGUUUUAGCUUCCGCAUAGUACAUGUUUUAUUCAGUUAUUCUGAGUAUGCUUGAUAUAUGGCAGACACAGGGUUAGCUUGGGGUCAUUCGUGAUCCUAGGUCCCGUGUUACGUCAAGGGGGUAGCCUCGGGGAAUGACACAACAUAUCAUUUAUGAGGUGUUAAACCCAAACAAACCCAAGCAUUGUUGCCCAACACCACAGAUAGGCAAUGACUAAUUUAUAUGAAACCAAAUAUAAACAAGAAGUAGACCAAAAUCUCUAGAGGUCAACCAACUAGCUAUAGCCAAUAACAACAAAGAGAAACUACACAAUCAGACAACAAAUGAAAUUUAUCAAAAUAAAUAAUAGCUAAAUCAGUCUGUAAAUCAACUAUAUCGACUAAACAAAAUAAAGAGAAACAAGUCAAGCUUAGGAGAGGGAUCAAACCUUUUGUUGACCACAUCGAAGCUGGGACGAUGAGUUGAAUCUAGUUAUUCCUCCACCACAAGUGGAAUUCUAACAAGAGCUCAAAUCCAGCAACAAAAGACUAAAACCUCCAAGCCAUAGGAAUAUUAUUUUCUUUAAUUUUCAUUUAUAUUGCCUGUAUAUUUUUUUGUAAAUAUCUGUUCAUGUUUCUUGUCUCUCCAACCUCUUUCUUUGGAUGGGAAUCCCCUCUGUUUUGGGUAGUAAAUUAGUGUGCCAAAAACCUCUUCAAAAUGCUAAAGGAAGGGAAUUCGAAAUUCAAACUCUUGUGUUGGCUCGAUUUCGUACCAAUUCUUAACAGAAUUGAAAGAAAGGUCAGUAGAUUUUGACACUUGGAAGAUUCUCGUAACGAUCUUCUACGAGGACGACACGGCUGGGAUUAGAGGACACUGGGUUCGCUGGAUUUUUAAGUGGGUAAUUUAGGACCUAAAAGCUUUAGCAUUGUUCAAUUUUAUUUUAUUUUUACAUAAAGCAGGGAUUACAUUAUUAUUUUUAUAUGAAGCAGGGAAGAAAGAUAGCAAAAGAACAGAAUAUAUUUUUAUUUUAUUGAUCAUAUAUAUUAAGCUUUGUGAAACUUGAGUAGAAAAUGAGACAUACAUGUCAAGCUGGAAUUAGUGGUUAGUUGCAUAUUUGUACGAGAAUUGUUGAUAGCCAAAAGAAAAUAAACCUACAGAAAUCAAGGAUUACUAUGAAGAUACAUCAAAUUGUGCCAGGAGUUCAACAAUCAGGAGAAUACAUUAUGAUAUAUGUUAGAGUUCAUUUCUUACUAUUUCUCAGUAUGAGAUACCAAAAUAUCCAUAGAGCAAGUCUUCCCUAGAAGUCCUCCCUCAUUUAUCCCGGUAAACUCCAAUGAAUCCUA